RNAcentral lists this ribosomal RNA (578 nucleotides) under Colletotrichum acutatum. RNAcentral's name for it is "eukaryotic LSU rRNA". The stretch from base 205 to 358 matches the Rfam family "5.8S ribosomal RNA". Lineage: Eukaryota; Fungi; Ascomycota; Sordariomycetes; Glomerellales; Glomerellaceae. The record is from RNAcentral.
UUCCGUAGGGGUGACCUGCGGAGGGAUCAUUACUGAGUUUACGCUCUAUAACCCUUUGUGAACAUACCUAUAACUGUUGCUUCGGCGGGUAGGGUCUCCGCGACCCUCCCGGCCUCCCGCCUCCGGGCGGGUCGGCGCCCGCCGGAGGAUAACCAAACUCUGAUUUAACGACGUUUCUUCUGAGUGGUACAAGCAAAUAAUCAAAACUUUUAACAACGGAUCUCUUGGUUCUGGCAUCGAUGAAGAACGCAGCGAAAUGCGAUAAGUAAUGUGAAUUGCAGAAUUCAGUGAAUCAUCGAAUCUUUGAACGCACAUUGCGCCCGCCAGCAUUCUGGCGGGCAUGCCUGUUCGAGCGUCAUUUCAACCCUCAAGCUCUGCUUGGUGUUGGGGCCCUACAGCUGAUGUAGGCCCUCAAAGGUAGUGGCGGACCCUCCCGGAGCCUCCUUUGCGUAGUAACUUUACGUCUCGCACUGGGAUCCGGAGGGACUCUUGCCGUAAAACCCCCCAAUUUUCCAAAGGUUGACCUCGGAUCAGGUAGGAAUACCCGCUGAACUUAAGCAUAUCAAUAAGCGGAGGAA